AGCGCCUACGGGACGCAGCAGUCGGGAAUAUUGCGCAAUGGAGGAAACUCUGACGCAGUGACGCCGCGUAUAGGAAGAAGGUUUUCGGAUUGUAAACUAUUGUCGAUAGGGAAGAAAAAAGACUGUACCUAUCAAGAAAGCUCCGGCUAACUACGUGCCAGCAGCCGCGGUAAUGCGUAGGGGGCAAGCGUUAUCCGGAUUUACUGGGUGUAAAGGGAGCGUAGACGGCUGUGCAAGUCUGAAGUGAAAGCCCAGGGCUCAACCCUGGGACUGCUUUGGAAACUGUGGAGCUAGAGUGCUGGCGG
RNAcentral lists this ribosomal RNA (305 nucleotides) under uncultured bacterium. RNAcentral describes it as "bacterial SSU rRNA". It matches the Rfam family "Bacterial small subunit ribosomal RNA", at positions 334 to 655 of the family's 1533-position model. The record is from RNAcentral.